GCCGUGCUGGCCUUUGCUGGGUAGCCCUCUCUCUCCUUUACUGGGCUUAACACCCGAGAGAACCAACUUUUCUUCUUAGGAACAGAUGAUGAGCACUUAACCUAGGGCAAACUUCUUCCCGGAUGUCCAACAAUUUAUUUACAUGCAUUGAAGAGAGAUGUAUGUUACAUGGAUGCCCCGUCCCCCGUGCCCGGUGAUGUGGCUAUAAUCUCUUUUUUAAACAUGUUAUAUUGUGCAUGCCCUAAUAAAAAUGUUAUAUAUUCAUAUAGUGACUAAUUUUCACAACAUGUAAGUUACUUCUUUUUUCAACCACUCAAUCUAUAGUGGGUGAAAAAAAGGGCUCGUUUAGCUGGCUUGUUUUUCCUUUUUGCGAGUAAACAACAAGAGAAGACUACUACUGUGAUGCAUUAAUUAGAUAAUUGGAGUUGUAAAUAAAGAGACUGUACAGGGGGAGAAUAUUACAAUGUCAAUCCAUGAUUGUCAAAUUGGAUGGUCUUGCACUUUUACCCUAUGCAAAAGUAAACUCUUCCCUCAAAAGUAGCUUUAAAUAGCUGAAAGAACAUUGAAUAUUGUUGAAGAUGAGGUCAUUAAUUUCUUCAUUUCCGUAUGUUUCGAAAUCCAACAGCAAUUACAAUUCAAUGAAAAAUGGGUAGCCAAAAUUGUGCUUUGCUGUUAUCAUCAUAUUCAUAAAUUCCUGAUUUGUUAGUCAAUGGAUGCUAGUGAAAGACACGUCGAGUGACUGUACUCCGACUACGAUAUUUAUAGGUAUGGGGAAGUUGGAAACAAGGUAUAUGCGAGAAUGUAUCAAGAAGACAAAGAACACAAAUUUAUACUAGUUCGGGUCCUCAUGGAGAGUAAUAACCUGCUCUAGUUUAUAUGUAUAUAUGAAUAGGAAUACCACACAAACUACAAAGAAGGAGCAGAUGUCUAGUCUAAUCUACCGACUAGACGCUAUCCAAAAUAGCCCGACGAGAUCUAUUCGAUGAUUAGGGUGUUGGCUUGCUCCGGUUUGUGUCUUGAUGUUUAACUUGACACCCCUUCUAGGAAAGGGCCUUGUAUUUAUAGCUUGUAACUUGAAGAACUAGGGAAAAAAUACGGUCUAAGAGACCUUAUCUUUCCCGACUAAAACUCUGACACCUUCUAUUCCGGGAAUAUAUUAUUUUUGGAGAUAAGCCAUAUCUUAUUAAUUAAAUGGCACCUACUCGUAUAUUACUGGGUAUAUGGUACGGUCAUAUUCCACGAACCCAUGUAUUGGAGGUGUGCCUUAUCCUUGACUCUGACAAGACCACCAUUGAUUUGCGAAAGGACAGGUGACGAAAAGAUGCAUGCAUCUUCUGGGAGAGAGGAAUUGUAGAGCACAUAGCUAAGUCCAGAGUUAACAUUGAUAUUCUUCCUCCACAACAUAUCCCUUGUGUAUAAACGAUCCACCAGAAGAAGUCAUGGAAAACUUUUAGCUUCAUCAUACACUUGCUCUUCCAGAUGUAAGUGAGAGGUAAGUCCGGUUGGAUAUGAGCAAAAAAAGAGUGAAUAAACUUAUUUUGUUUCAAAGGUUGGACAAUUCCAUUUGUAACACCACUGAUCAUCUGAGUUGCCAAAGUUUUAGUUUGGAGACUAGGUCGUAGAAUUUGCCAUUCUUAUACUGCUUGAGUGGAUAGUGGUAGAUAAAACAACUCAUUAAGAUUCUGAUUAUUAUGAAAGCUGAAAACUGAAAGAUCUUCAUUUCUUGAAUAAGGGAAUAGAGUUUGAAAAUGAUCAUCUAAUGGGCUUCCAUUUCAAUUCCAAUUGUCCUUCCAGAAUGGAGCAGUAUCUCCACUUUGAAUUUUUAUAACUAUAAUUGCUCUGAAGAGUAUCGUUAACCCGGAAAAUGUCUUUCUACCAUAAUGAUCCUUUUUCUUUUCAAGCUUGUGCGUAGAUCUGCAUUGUGGUAGUAUUUGUUCCAAAUGAGCUACCCAAGAUUGUUUCAAAAUCUCUCCAAUUUAAUUUUGAAUGAAAUUUGCUUUCACCAUAUCUUGGCUCGUUAGCUCAUUAACAAAAAUAGUCUCAAAUGAUAGUAAAAUAUAACAAACUAUAAAAAGUUGAUUUCGAGGAAAGGUCAAUGGUCAAAUCAUUUUUCCCCACUCACCAAACAGAUCACACUUUUAUAUAUCCUUUUUGUGAAACAGAGGAUUCCAAACAUUAGAAGUUUGUACCUUGGCGAGCUCCUACAAAAAUACAAAAAAUAUAUAUACAAAUGUAAUAGAAUAUAAAUGAACCCACAUAAAUAAAAAAAGAAAAAGAAAGUCACAACAUUUUUUUUGCUAAAAUUCUACUUUAAAUUUAGGCUAUCGUGUGGUUCAGUUUAAUGCGUCAAUUUCAGGCAUUUUUUAAUGUUGCUAACACUCGGCACUAGUACAGUUUGUUGAUAACAAAGUGAUCAAUCAGUCCGCCGAUUCACCUCUAUCCCUCGCACGCACAUUUUUGUUCUUAUCGUAAGAUUGAUCUCGCGUGUAUAUCACCGCGCGCAACGUACGUUACUAAUUGCCAGCAACACACGGUCGCUAAUCACAAUAUAUAUUACAUAUAUAUAUGUUGUGUUCUAUCUCGUUUUAGUUCAUCCUAACCUUACCUACCCAAUGAUAGAUAUAUAAGUCCUUGCAUUGGCGUCCAUUACCGGUUCAUUGACUAAACACAGGGAAAAAUAUGUGUUUUUCGCCUGUGCAAAACAUCAAUCACUCCAUUUUAAUCAUAUCACUCCAGCCUCCGGGAAACGCAUGCAUUUGAUAAUCCGAUUUAGUACGAGGCUACGAGCCUAGGAGAAUGGCUUUACAGCAAUGCCGCCUAAUUAAGUACACGGUGGUGUGGAACACGAGCUAGCAUCGCGUCAAUUCUCUCUUCUGUUUGCUGAUAUGAAGGGAGUACUCACUCCCUCCCAAUAUAAAUGCAACCAAUAUGAAUGUAACCUAAAAUAGAUAUGUUACAUAUGUUAGGACUACAAAUACAAACAGUCUGUUCCGAUUCAUAAUCCUAAAAUAUAUUAUAUCUGUCUUAAGUUAUAUAUAUUUAUAUUAGGAAUUCGAAGGAGAUAUCUAGUACAAAGGAGCAUCCAUCCAGCAACAGGGACGCAGCCUCUGAUGAUGCAGCACCUAGCAAUUGCACCUGCACGGCUCCACCGUCAGUCCAAAAAAUAAUCCUAUGAUGUGAAGAUUUACUGUUAGUUCUUCAUUGGUUUUUUUAACACAUUAACAGUGUGAGGAAGAUAUGACAGCUGAAGUGAUGAUCAUCGAGUUUGUCCAGCAACGAGAAAUAUAUCAACAGAGGAUCAGUUGUUACGAUUCACUGAAGGGACGCCGGAUCAUUGUAAGUGUAAUCAUCCUAGUAACAAUUUAUGGAAGUGACAGUCGAGGCUCCGAUAAUUGCCAUUGCACAAUGUGCCAUACUGACGUGAUAAAAAAAUUGGUAGAAUUGGCCUGGGUUAUAGUUUGUAUCGAAUAUGUUUACUCGAUUAUAAAUUAGGAAUUGGAGUUUUAAUAGAUAUAAAAACAAUAGUAAGUCAGACUAUGGCUCUCUCUUAAAUAGAGAGACACACCUAUUGUAACCGUAUAGUGCUAGUAAAAUAAAUAGGUGAGUGACGAUUGGUCAGCAGCCUAGCCAGUCGAUGGUCGACGUGGAUACUCUAAUAUGAUGUAAUUAUAUUAUAUUGGGUAGGAGCGCCGUAAUUAGUGUUAUGGGGACAUAGGUGUUUUAGCUGAACCUCAUUAAUAAAUAUUGUGCUUAUCGGUAUCGUCAUCAUAUUAGGACCCUCUAUGAUGUUCUUCUGCGUUUGGUUACCGAUGUGCUAUGGGGUUGGUUUUAUAACAAGUGGUACCAGAGCUUGUGGGAGAUGUAUAUAUAGAGGCACGAGAGAUGAGUCCCACACCACAACACUUUGUAUAUGUUGUCUUGGGAGGGACAUGAUGCAAGGUUGGAGCACGGCAACGAUUAACGGAAAUUGUUCGGUGGAAUCGAACACUUCUAGCAAUGGUUUAACCAUUCGAUGGAUACUUUUAAUUGGGAGGCGACUGGACAUGGUGCUCGAUUUAAAGGUGGCGGACGCGAUUGGCGAUCCAAUAGGUGAAGAAGAAGGCAUGAUAAUUUGUUGGACUAAAUUGAUGGCGGUUAAUCGAAAAUUGGAGCGCGGGUGAAACCUUUCCUAAGGGAAAGGUGCCGACAACAGGACGAACUGCCGCAAAACUGAUACACAUGGGCAUGGCAAGUACGGAACAAUUAGAAUGAUGGGCGUAGGUCGGACUUAAAUGCACAGAUUGUUUGGAUUGGGCACAGGGAAAUGUGCAUCCUGCUAUGGGCCAUGACGUGCACAUAUGUGCAUGUUGGGCCAUCAUUUGCGCAUGCAGCACAUGCAUAACAAUUAACAUGGGGCAUUACACGCAUACGGCAGGGAAGCACAAACGUGUGGAGCCUCAGUUUGCACACACACGCGCGCGUCCCUCUGAUCAGGCCGACAACGGAGAUUGGAAGGCCGUACGUGCAUGUUUGGUGUAGCUGGUAUCUUGGAGAGUUGGAGGUGCCGAGAUCACGGAGGACUCGAUCUUGGCCGGGUUGGCGCGCUUGCGGUGCAGAGGCUACGGACUCGUCCGCUCGUGUCCUCUAUCACAGCGCACGGGGCACGGAGAGGUGGAUCGACUCAAAGUUCAACUCGAACACGAGAAGGGCCAGCGAUCGAUCGUUACUCCAUGGUGUGAUGUGAGUUCGAUCAUCGGCCUAUACGAUCAGCAAAGAACGGGAUUGCAAAUCAUCAAGCAAAUAGUACAAGGAUUGUGAAAUCAUGGUUUAAUAGAAAAAAAUAAAGCUUCCUAUAAGUGAAAUGAAGAAGUAAUUUUGACAUUAGUGCUAAUAACAAUCAAUUGUACAGAUUUUUUUGUAAAGUAUAUAAGGAGAAAUUUGAAUACCCUUAGAAAGGAUGAUUUUGGGCUCAAGAAUGCUUGUUUUUACACAAAUAAUAUCACAAAACACAUAAUAUAGCUAUGAAAUCAUAAGUUCCAAAAAAUUGGGGUACAACUAUAGCUCAUGUUUCAUUGGCACACCCAUGGUUUCUAAGGAACACCCGUAAUCAGUGUCCCGAGAUAUAAAUUUUAGCACAAUCUCAUUAGUAAAUAUCAUAUCUCGAUGUGGUUAAUUAUCUUGGUGAAUACUUAUGACGUAUUUUCGUGUUUAGUUACCGAUGUUCUAUAAUAGCUCGCAUGAGGUUGGAAGUAAUCAGGCAACAAAAUUAGUGUUCUUCAAGCAAGAAUGGUUGUCAGUUUAUCUCACUAUGUGAAGAUCGAUCUGUGAAACUAAAAUGAGACUUAACAUUAACUCCAAAUAGUUGCCCUUCAUGAUUGAUGAUGAGUCUAGCUACGUACUGUACUGCCCAGGCUGACAGCUGAGCGGUCACAAUCAAACUAGCAAUCACCACCAAUUCCGUGCAGACGUGGACGAAGAUGAAAAAACUCGAGCUCGCUAGCGAAGUCCAUUCCGACUCGCCAGCCGUCUAUAAAAGGCAGGCGUUACGCGCUAUCGUCCCAUCUCGAAAUCAAGCACGAGGACUCCCAAGUCCAGCCAUGAAAGCCACGACGACAGCAGUGGCCCUCCUCGUGGCCGCCGCGGCCAUGGCGGCGCAGGUAGUCGCCGAGCAGUGUGGCUCGCAGGCCGGUGGGGCGCUGUGCCCGAACUGCCUCUGCUGCAGCUCCUACGGCUGGUGCGGCUCCACUUCCGACUACUGCGGCGACGGCUGCCAGAGCCAGUGCGACGGCUGCGGCGGCGGAGGUGGCGGCGGUGGCGGCGGGGGCGGCGGUGGAGGUGGGGGUGGCGGCGCGGUGGAGGCGGUCGUGUCGAAGGAGCUCUUCGAGCAGCUGCUGCUCCACCGCAACGACGCGGCGUGCCCCGCCAGAGGGUUCUACACCUACGACGCCUUAGUCACCGCCGCCGCCGCGUUCCCGGACUUCGCCGCGACGGGCGACGACGAGGCGCGCAAGCGUGAGGUCGCCGCGUUCCUCGGGCAGACCUCCCACGAGACCACGGGCGGGUGGGCGACCGCGCCCGACGGCCCCUACUCGUGGGGCUACUGCUUCAAGGAGGAGAUCGGCGCCACGGCCUCCUACUGCGUCCCCAGCGCCGAGUGGCCGUGCGCCCCGGACAAGAAGUACUUCGGCCGCGGCCCCAUCCAACUCUCCUAGUAAGCACAUCAAAGCUAGGUUCAAUUUUUUUUAUCAAAUUCUCAGCGCGAUAAGAAUGGUUUUGAACUUUUGAUCGAUCGAUCUCUCAGCAACUACAACUACGGGCCGGCGGGAGAGGCCAUCGGCGAGGACCUCCUGAACAACCCGGAGCUGGUGGCGUCGGACCCGGUGGUGUCGUUCAAGACGGCGCUGUGGUUCUGGAUGACGCCGCAGUCGCCGAAGCCGUCGUGCCACGACGUGAUCACGGGGCAGUGGACGCCGAGCUCGGGGGACAUCGCGGCCGGGCGGGUGCCGGGGUACGGCGUGAUCACCAACAUCAUCAACGGCGGGUUGGAGUGCGGGUUCGGCCCCGACGACCGGGUGGCGAACCGGAUCGGCUUCUACCAGCGCUACUGCGACGUGCUCGGCAUCGGCUACGGGAGCAACCUCGACUGCUACGACCAGAGGCCGUUCAACAGCGGGUUGACGGCGGCGCAGUGAACAGCUAGUAGCUUCGCCGGCGGCGACUGGCUGGCGGUAAAAUAAGAGUGCUUUGCCACUCACUCCCUGUACGUGUCGUCGUACAAGUACGUACUUACAACGUACUAGUAUCGAGUCGAAGUAUGGUGUGUCAUAAACUUGUAACCGGGCUGAAACCGAUAUAUAUGCAUGUGGCACAGUGUCAGUCCAAUAUUUCAGAAUAAAUAAAUGGACAACAAAAUUCUCUUUUAAUCAUGCAGAAAAACUCUUAUAUCGAAGAAGCACUUCUACAUAAAUCGUCGCUGGUGCCGGUUAGGAACACACGAUUUUUGCAUGUGGUUGGGCCAGCCGCAUGCGUGAAAUGGUCUGCAAAGAUCACCAUCUUUCCAUGCGGCCAGGGCACCCGCAUGCAAAAAUCCGCGACUUGCCCCCGCUCCCGCCGCCGCCGCCAGCUCCCGCUCCUGCCGCCCUCGAUCACGAUGGCCGCUCCCGCCUCUGGAUCUGGGUGGGACGAGGCCUGCCGCCACCACCCGCAUCGUCGUCGUCGUCGCCCACUCGUCGUCGUCGCCGGAGUCGGAGACGCCGCCAGAUCCACGCGAGGGAGGGCCCCCUGCGUCGGAUCCGCGCCGCCCAGCCAUCGCUCGCUGCCAUCCGCUGCCGCCGCUCACUCCCGGCGCCGGUUGCUCACUCCCGCUGCCGCUGCUCGCUCCCAUCCGCCACCGCCGCCAGAUCCGCGCGAGGGAGGGCCCUAUGCACCGGAUCUGCGCCGCCCGGCCGUCGCCCGCCGCCGCUCUCUCCCGGCGCCGGCGGCUCCCAUCCGCAGCCGCCGCUCGCUCCCACCGCCUCCUCCUCGUCGCGGCCCACGCCGCCCGCUGCUCGGCCGCGUCGCCCGCCGCCCGCUCCCAUCUGCCGCCACCGCUCGCUCCCACCGCCUCCUCCUCGUCGCAGCCCCCGCCGCCCGCCGCCCGCUCCUGCCACCUCCUCCUCGGCCGGGCGUAGAUCGAGGAGAGAAAGAGAGAGAGAGGAAGAGAGAGAGUGAGAGAGAGGAAGAGAAAGAAAAAUAGAGGGGGUGAGAUAUCAGAGAGAGGAGAGGAGAAGACAUGAAAAUUUUUGAAGUGGUGAGGAGGGAAAAAACUAUUGAUGUGAAGAUAUUUUUACAUGUGGUCCACUUAAAAUAGCCACAUGCAAAAAUAGAUUUUUACAUGCGCCUCCUUAGGUGGACCGCAUGCGAAAAUAGUUAUUAAAAAUUAAUUUAAAAAUGUGAGAAGUUCGAAUCAAAUUUUAUGAUAUUAAAUGAACUUAUAUGAAAAUGUUGCCAAAAACAAAGUUGUAGAACUCGUUGAGAUCUACCAAUUUUCUUUUAGUCAUUUCUUCAUUCGAGUUUGAUUGAACUAUAUAAAAUUUAAAUUUUAAAAUAUAAGAAAUUCAAAUAAUUUUUCAGGUAGUAAAUGAUUUCAAAUGGAAAAGUUGUCAAAAACAAAGUUGUAUAACUUAUUAAGAUCUACAACUUUUGUAUUGGUCAUUUUUCUAUAUGACUUUGUUUGAACAGUUUGAAUAUGAAUUUUAAAUUAUAACAACUUCAAACAACAUUUUCAAAUACUAAAUGAUUUUAACUGAAAAAGUCGUCAAUAACAAAGUUGUAUAACUCAUCAAGAUCUAUAACUUCUAUUUUGGUUAUUUCUUUAUUUGACAAAGUGAUUUGUAAGAUUGUUCACAAAAUAUACAUCUCUUAAAAACUAUACAAGAGAUGUAUAUUUUGUGAACAAUCUUAUAAAUCACUUUGUUGGAUGAAGAACUUAUAGAUCUUGAUGAGUUAUACAACUUUGUUAUUGAUGACUUUUUUAGAUGAAAUCAUUUAUUGCUUCAAAAUAUUAUUUGAAAUUUUGAAAUUAAAAUUUUUAAUUGAUAAAACAAAGUCACAAGAAAAAAUAGCCAAUAUAAUACCAAUAAGAACACAAUAACAUGAUAGAGCAUGAUUUUAGAAACAUUUAGAAAAAAUAUCAUCCAAUUUGAAGUUCAUAUGAGUGAGAUACACUAGUUUCAAAUUUUUCAAUUUUUAUUUUCACAUACGGCUGCUUAAGUGGCCCGUAUGAAAAAAAAAUCAAUUUUUCCAUGCGGGCGCUUAAGUGAGCCGCAUGCAAAAAUGAGCUCAUUUUUGCAUGCGGCCCUCUUAAGAGGCCCGUAUGGAAAAAUCGAUUUUUCCAUACGGGUCACUUAAGCAGCCGUAUGGGAAAAUGACCCUCAAUUUUUGUAGACGCCACUAGUUAUGGUCCAUUUGCAAAAAUCAUGGGGUCUCGUACAGAAAAAUCACUUUUGUAGUAGUGGAACCCACAAAGGUGUCGGUUGAAAAACCAGCACCUAGAUGUCGGCACUAUGUGGAGGAGAAAUAGGAGCCGGUUUAGGAACCGGUACGUUUGAGGUUCCACGAAUAAAAAAAAUCGUCUCGAUUCAAACCGAUGCAUCAAUCCGCUCUCCAUCAUCCUUAUCAAACAAACACAAUCAAAAUCAACAUUGAAAUCAUCCAAUCACAAAAAUAAAGAAAAUUGCAAACACAAACACAUGCCACCAUCGCUGUCGUGGAUCCGGCCACCCAGUCGCCAAAACGUCAAUCCGACUACCCCCACCGUCGUGGUGGCUUGUGGCGGAAAGGAGGCCACACACGACCACGACGGAGAAGGCCGCGCCCCACCGCAGCGGAGAGGAGGAGAGCCGUCGGGGAGAAGGAGAGGAGGAGAGUUGCGUUGUAGGGAACCCGCCACCUCCCCUCCUGCCAGAUUUGGCGAGGAGAGAGCUGCCAUGGGGAGUCCGCUGUCGUUGCCCUGGGGAGCCGUCGCUGCCCGUGGGGUGCCUCAAGAGAGAGACCGAGAGAGAAGCACCCAAAGAGAGGUAAAAUAAAGAAGAGAGAGAGAGAGACCGCGAGUUGAUAGAGGCGACCGCUCCUCCCCACUCCCCAGCCUUAUCCUCUCGACCGCUCCUCACCGCUCACAACUCGGCUCAUGGCUCAAUUUUUACGGGUGUUGGUCUUUUAAAAAACCGGCACCUAUAUAUAUUAUAGGUAUUGCUUUUUAAAUUGCUGGCACCUAUGAUAAAUUAAAGGCGUUGGUUUUAAAAACCAACACCUAUAGUAUUGGGAUCGGUUUUUCUAUAGAAGCGACACCUAAGUCGCUUAAAUGUGUCGGUUUAUCUUGGCUUUUUUUCGCUUACGCGCAAAAGGAUUACACGUCAAUAUAUUAGAAGAAAAGAGUUUUAGUUACACAACGCAAUCAACCAGAUCGGCCUAUGCCAGGGGAAGGGAGAAAAGGCAAAAUAAAAAACCGAAGCUUAGAAAACUACGACGGCUAAACCCUAACUCUAAACAGUGGGAAGGGGCCGAGCCAUACUACACUCCCCUGAAAGCGGUAACGCCAGCUUAAAAACCACAUGUAGCCCUCCGAGUGGAUUGAAUGUUUUUUUUUUUUGCUUUCGAUGCCAUAGAGGUGUGAAAAGGAUUUAUAGGUACCGGUUUUAAUAGUUCCGUCACCUAUAGUGUCGAUCUAUAUGUGUUUUUUUAAGUAGUGGAGUAAAAUAACCAAGCGACCAUACCGAGUAAGGAUUAUAAGUUCGCAUAUCUGAACUAAUCAUCUCCCUGCUCCGGCACAACGGAGAUGAGAGCGCUACACAUGAUGAUUGCACUAUCUUAUUCCAUUUUAAUCAUAUCAUUCUGGGAAAAGCAUGCAUUUGAUGGUCCGAUUUCGUACGAGGCUAGGAGCCUAGGAGAACGGCAUUUCGGCAACGCCACGUACGCCGUCGCGUAAUUAAGUGCACGGUGGUGUGGAACACGAGCUAACGUCGCGGCAAUUAUUUCCUCUGUUUGCUCUUGCUGAUAUGCAAGCGAGUAAUACUCUCUCCGUCCCAAAAUAAGUACAGUUUUAGCACUAUUUAUAUCCAAUAUUUGACCGUUCGUCUUAUUUGAAAAAAGAUUAUGAUUAGUAUUUUUAUUGUUAUUAGAUGAUAAAACAUGAAUAGUACUUUAUAUGUGACUAAUUUGUUUAAUAUUUUCUAUAAAUUUUUCAAAUAAGACGAAUGGUUAAAACACUGAACACGGAUAUCUAUGGCAACACUUAUUUUGGAAUGGAGGUAUUACAACGACUACUAGCAUCCGGCAACAGGGACGUAACCUAGCUCUGAUGAUGCAGCACCUGCACCGCCAGUAGGAACAAUAAUCGUAUGAUGUGAAGCUUUACUGUUAGUUCGUACCAAUUAUCAUCGUUUUUUAACACAUCAGCAGUGGGAGGAAGAUAUGACAGCUGAAGUGAUCAUCAAGUUUGUCCAGUCACGAGAAAUCAACAGACGCUCCCUUAAAAGAAAAAAAAAUCAACAGAGGCGUCGUUACGAUUGGCUGAAGGCAUGAUCAUCCUAACUAGUAGGUGAUACCCUAAGCUUUGCCGUGUGAUUCAUGGAUAAGUAUAUAUUAAAUAUUAUCAAAAUGAUGAAAGUUGAAAUGUUAAAAAAAUAAUGUGAGGAAGAUGAUUUGACACAUAUUUGUUGAUUUCUAAAAUAUAUACUCCCUCCGUCCCACAAAAUCACGAAUCCUGGAGGGGGAGGUUUGUCAAAAAAAACUCUCUCCUAUCAUUUUGACCACAGAAACCUUAUCUCCUCGGCUUUUCUCGUCUCGUUCUCUUCUCCCUAAAUCGCAUCGCUCUCUCUUCCCCCAAAUCACGCCCAGAUGCGACCUCCUGCCUCCACGCCUUCCUCCCCGCAAAUCCCUCCCCUCUCCACGCCGCUCCCCCUCACUCCCUCCCUGCCUUCCUCCCCGCACAUCCCUCCUGCUCAACGCGGCGGCGGCGGCUGGCGGGGGAGGCGACGAGCGGACGCCGGUGUUCUUGCGUACAUGUGGCCUCGGCGGCAGCGGUGACGAGCGGACAAGGCAUUGGCGGCGACAAGCGGACGCGGCCUCGUCGGCGGCGGCGACCGGCGAACACGGCGGCGGCGGCGACGAGCGGACACGGCCUCGUCGGGGUUCUUGCUAGUUCAUUCGUUAGGGUUGUUGCUAGUUCUUGUAGUAUCUUUUUUUCUCUAUUCUUGGCUCUGUUCUUCAUUGACAGCUGCGAGGCUCCACCAGUCCACCUCCCCACACCUCCCUCCAUUGUGUUGAAGGCUUUGCUACGCGACGGCGGCGGUGGAGCCUUGCAUGCGUGUGGUAUGCUGGUAUGUGGCCGAUGCUUGCUUUGCAUGCUGAUGGAUGUGGCUUGCUCGGAUGCAGCUAUUAUGGUGGAAGGGGAUUGACGAUGGGAAGGACAGCCACAAGGAAAUUCAUGCUUGUCUUUUUUUUACCGUUAAUUAAUGGUUGUACUUUGUACUUUGGUGAGAGCAUACUAGUCUUUUGUCACUGCUGCUAAAGUCACCUUGGGCUUCUAGGAAUCGUGAUUUUAUGGGACGGAGGGAGUAUAUUAUAGAUGAUGUGUCAUGCACUCAUGCUUGCAUGGGAUUUAAAAUAUGCUAGAAUUAGUAAUUGCUAGUAAGUGAAGAUGUGGCAUGUUGUUUGCAUAGGAUUUUAAAUGAGAUAGAAUAGUAAUUGCUAGUGGGUGAUGAUGUGGCAUGCUUGCAUGUUGAGUUUUAGCUUCUAAUAGUUGUUAGUGGGUAUCAACUAUAUAGAAAGUAUAGAUUUAUGGAACAGUGACAAUCGAGGCUCAGAUAAUUGUCAUUGCGCAAUGUGCCACGUGGACAUGAUGAAAAAAUGAUACGAUACAUAACCGGUUACGAAUUAGGACUUACGAAUUAGGACUUAGAGUUGUAAUAGGUAUAAAACAAUAGUUGAGUCGGAUUUCGUCUUAGGGUCUCUCUUAAAUAGAGAAACACACAUGUUAUAACCAUGUGAUGAUAGUAGUAUAAGUGAGGGAUGACCGGCCUAUGACCUUGCCAGUCGAUAGUGGUAGAUAUCUUGUUACGCUGUAAUUAUGCUAGAUUGGGAACUAGCGCACUUAAUCAGUACUUCGGGGACGUAGACUUUGGUUGCACCCCAUUAACAAAUAUUGACUCAGUCAUUAUUGUGUUUGGAUCUUCUAUGACGUUCUUUUGUGUUUGCUUGCAUAUAUGAUGUCGGGCUGGUUUUAUAUCCAGUGGAACAGAGCCGGUAGUAUAUCCAUGUAUAGGUAAUGAGCCGAGCUGGCUCGGCUCGUGAAAGCUUGGUGUAAGGGAAGCUCAGCUUGGCUUGGCUCGCUACAAACAACGAGUUAAAACUGUAGCUCGGAUUGGCUCGUUAAUGGGCUCGAGCCAACUCGAGCUGGCUCGCGAACCUGGCAUCAAGUAAAUCUUAAGUAGGGUCUAAGAGAAAUCGAGCAACAUUUUACCAUAUAGAAUGUGUAAUAAAGUGAUAUUUUUCUUUAACAUGUCAUCACAACACAUAAAAUAGAUAAUAUGACAAUCAAAGUUAUCAUUUUCAACAAAUAAAUAGUAAGAAAAGGUGCAAAAUUUUGUAUGACUCUAUUGUACUGAGCCAACGAAGCUCGCAAGCAGCUCGUGAGCCAGCUCGGGCUUGGCUCAUUUUGGAAACGAGCUAGAAAGGAUGCUUGGGAUCGGCUCGUUUGGCUUUCGAGCCGAGCCGAGCUAUGCGAGCCCGAACUAAGCCUGAGCUGAGCUAACGAUCUCAAGCUUCUUGUCCAUCCCUAUCCAUGUAUAAAGGUACGAGGAAGGUGCCCCACAUUGCAACUGUCGAAGAAGCGGGAAUGAGGGUUCCCACUUCAUCGGAUGUCUCGUCGUUGGUCAGACAUGACAUUCAACAUUGAUUGGAACUGGAUGAUCGGUGAAGUCGAACAGUCUAGGCGGGGUGGCUAUUGACGCAAAAUCCGUUCCAACACGCAAAGGCUAAGAGAUUUGUUUGACUAUAGUGCACGUCCUUAAUAUUGGGUUCAGGGCGUGCUAGUUGGAAGUUGCUUCCCCUGAAGUAUUUUUUUCCCCUUGAUUUUCCAACUGCGUGUGCAAUUUUGACCAUGAUGCAAGCAAAGUGCAAACAAAGUGUAUUAGAAACACAUAAUUUUCUGGUAGUUCGUUUUGGAAACAGGAUUUGCUUCUUGUCUUCCAAAUUGCCAACAGAACAGACAAACAAAUGCAGAUGUAAAUGCAGAUAAUCGCUGCAUGAGUUUGGGUUUGGCAUGCAUGAUGCAUCCAUAUGAACCUGAACAUUCAGGACAAAAGAAGGGCAAAUUGUGCCAUUAAUCUCAGAAUCUAAAACAGGAUUCAGAUUGCAAUCAGCUUACCGGUUCCCGUACGUUUGCAUAAUUGCAUGUACCGACAAGUUCACCAAUUUUGCGUACGCAGGGCGUGAGCCUGAAUUUCAUAUCACUAGCCGAGGGGAUCACCAUGCAUGCCAGGGUGUUCUUCCUGCACGGUAGCGUGUCGUCCGUCGCGUGGGUGUUCGUGUACCUGCGGUCGCCGGUGACGAGAGGCCAAGGCAGGAAUGCAGGAUGCGGCGCGCUCCGGUGAGUCAUGCGGUGGUGGGGUUCGGAGAAUAAAACUCCGAAUCCCUUCGAAUCUCUUGGCUACCGUGAUUCGCGGCCUGCGCGGUCCAGACGAGCUGAACUGCGCCCCGAUGCAGUGUAACAAGCGAUGGCUAGUGACUAGAGUAGUGUGUCCACGUCCACCGACGUUGUUCAGGGAUUUCGCACAACGCACAUCGAACAUUUUCAGGGACAAGGUGGCAUCACCUUCACUCCUUCAGGCUCCAAUGCUCCAUGGGUGCAGCCAUGCAACUCUAACCCUAUACCACUAUUCGGGAAAUUCUGAAUCUCUUCGGUAGUAAUAAAUUCUUUGAUUAAAAAAUGCGUAAGAAAGCUGCAGGUUAUGCUCGUUUUGCUUAUCCGUUAAUUGACCUUUGGUUUGAUCAGGGUCGCAUCGUUGUUCUGAACUUCUGGUGCAGUUUGCCUGCAUUGUUGCGCGCGGUUUUAUUAGUUUUUUUUUUUUUGAGGGGCAAAGGGCAGGAACUCUGCCAAUUUCAUUUCAGGAGAAAAGAGAUAGAGUUUAUACAAUCAUUUUAUUAGUUAAUUAGUUUCGUUAAUAAGAACAGUUCAUGUCAGUUUGAGUAAUCGUGGGAUCAGAUUUUAGUUGAUGCUGUUUUCUGGCCAAUAUGCAUUUGCUUCAUGUUGCUGUUCCUAUCUGCUUGCUCAAGGAUGCUAAAGUUGAUAUAUCGGAGAAAUGUUUAGUAGCAGGCUUAAGCCAUGCCAAAUUCAAUCGUUAUUCGUUAGUACUACACAAGUAAAUAACGACGUCAAAGAGGGAGGUACAUGAAAUUCUUUAUCUACCUACAAAGUAAAAAACCACAUGAGAGAGACAAGUGUGUGAAUUCAUAUCUAUCAUACAAAGAGAUCUAGGUUGCAUUUCUUCAUAUAGAUCCUGUCUCAUCCUGGGUAGUUGUAACGCAAACUUUCCAACGAAUCAAACCAGAGCACGGCUCGAUCUGGCUGAUGCAUGUGUGACAUCGAAUCCCCGGAAACAAAGACGAUCGUUUUUACUACUGUUCUAUCUCUUCAUCUAGUUUAAUUAAUGCCCUGUAUAUUCGAUCGUGCAUCCAUGUAUCAGUGGGCUCAGUUAAACAAAGCAGACGCAGGCAUGCAGGAGAUGAAAACGAGCAACGCACCCUCGUGCUGCCCGAAAGACAGUGUACUCUCCACACUGGCAUGACUCAUUUCUACGGGUGAAAACAGAGCGGAUUCAGACGAAUAAUGGUCAUACCAUAUCCUAAACCAGGAUUCAGAGUGGGUGCGGAUAGGAUACGGAUGCGCAUGCGGAGCGGAUUAUUUCGGAUGUCGGAAAUAGUGCGGAAUCAGUUCGAAAAAGAUUAAAUUUAUCGGAUAUUACAUGUGUAUACAAUCAAUACAAUAUUAAGUUAGCAAUGCAAGAAACAAUAAUACAAUAAUCAAUAAACGAUCCAUCAUACUAAUUAUGUGCUUAAGUGUUAAACAAUAUGAAUACAUGAUGUCCAUAAUAUAAAAAUACAGCUACGCAAGUAUGCCAUGAGAAGGUGAAAGCCUCAGACUAAGAAAUCUAUGCUAAUUGAUAAAUUAGUGCAUUCGAUAGACCAACUUAUGUUAUAUGCAAUAGAUAGAGUGAUUACAUGUGUUGAUAAAUUCGAAUUAUCCGGCAAACGGCCAAUCGGAUAAUCCGAUAGAAAUGUCGGAUAAUCUGCAUCCACCGGAUUUUAGAGAUACCAUAUCCUCAUCCGCAUCCGCAUUAUACUAUCCUCAUCCGCAUUCAUAUCCGCCGGAUUUCCAAAAGCCCAUACCAUAUCCUCGUUUCGAACGGAUUCAGAGUGGAUCGGAUCUAUCCGAUCGGUUUUCACUCCUACUCAUUUCACACAAGAUGAGGCCAUCACCUUGCAUAACCGAUUUUACACAAGCUAGAUGAGGCCAUGAUCUCCUCUAUAUAAGAGGCCAUGCAGUCUGUGGCUUCAUCACUCACCAGCUACGUACACUCAACCAACACACCACUGAAAAGCAAGAUUUUGUUGAAGAAAUAAGCAUCUUGCCAUGAUCGCAGCAAGGGCUGCAAACCUGCAGGUGGCCAUGAAGGCCCUGGCGCUGGCCGUGCUGGCCCUCGCCUACGCCGCGGCGACGGCGCGCGCCGAGCAGUGCGGCAGGCAGGCCGGCGGCGCCCGGUGCCCCAACAGGCUCUGCUGCAGCAGGUGGGGGUGGUGCGGCCUCACCGACGACUACUGCAAGGGCGGCUGCCAGAGCCAGUGCCGCGUCUCCCGCGACGGCGGCGACGACGACGUCGCCGCGGUGCUGCUCACGGCGCCGGGCGGCGGCCGCGCCGGCGUGGCGUCCGUCGUGACGUCGGACCAGUUCGAGCGCAUGCUGCCCCACCGCGACGACGCGGCGUGCCCCGCCCGCGGGUUCUACGCCUACCGCGCCUUCGUCGCCGCGGCCGGCGCGUUCCCGGCCUUCGCCGCCACGGGCGACGCCGACACCCGCAAGCGUGAGGUCGCCGCGUUCCUGGCCCAGACUUCCCACGCGACCUCUGGUAACGUAGUAACGUUUACUUGUCACGUUGGAACUCACGUGUACGUACACAUGUCUUAUGCACGAGUGCGCAUGUGUCCCUGCAGGUGGGCCCUACUCGUGGGGCUACUGCUACAAGGAGGUGAAGGGCGCGACGUCAGACUUCUGCGUGCCGAACGCGCGCUGGCCGUGCGCGCCCGGCAAGGCGUACCACGCCCGCGGACCCAUGCAAAUCGCAUAGUAAGAGAACGCAAAGGAGCAAACCAAAACGUCCAUAUAAAUGAACUUGCAAACAAAAAAUCCACAAAAUGGACGAACACUAGAAAAAUCUUAAAAUGCAACGGGAUUUCAUCCGUGAAACGUUCAAUUUCGAGACUAGUACUAUUUGGACUGAACAAAUGACAAACUACUGGAAUCUAAUUUUCAAAUUCAAUUUCAGCAACUACAACUAUGGGGCGGCCGGCGAGGCGAUCGGCGCGGACCUGCUGGGCAACCCGGAGCUGGUGGCAACGGACCCGACGGUGGCGUUCAAGACGGCGCUGUGGCUGUGGAUGACCGCGCGGUCGCCGAGCCAGCCGUCGCCGCACGCCGUCGUCACGGGGCAGUGGACUCCGACUCCCGCGGACAGCGCGGCCGGCCGCGCGCCAGGCUACGGGCUCACCACGAACAUCCUCACCGGCGGGCUCCAGUGCGCCGGCGGCAACGGCGGCGCCGACCGGGUCGCGUUCUACAAGCGCUACUGCGACGUGCUCGGCGUCGGCUACGGGCCCAACCUGGACUGCUUCGG
This 17408-nucleotide long non-coding RNA is filed under the name Oryza sativa (Asian cultivated rice). RNAcentral describes it as "long non-coding RNA (OSAT_LNC000998)". The stretch from base 10546 to 10755 matches the Rfam family "MIR812 microRNA precursor family". The record is from RNAcentral. Lineage: Eukaryota; Viridiplantae; Streptophyta; Magnoliopsida; Poales; Poaceae.